RNAcentral lists this ribosomal RNA (421 nucleotides) under uncultured bacterium. RNAcentral's name for it is "bacterial SSU rRNA". It matches the Rfam family "Bacterial small subunit ribosomal RNA", at positions 355 to 774 of the family's 1533-position model. The record is from RNAcentral.
UAAGGAAUAUUGGUCAAUGGACGCAAGUCUGAACCAGCCAUGCCGCGUGAAGGAUGAAGGUCCUCUGGAUUGUAAACUUCUUUUAUCUGGGACGAAAACGGGAUUUUUAUCUCAAUUGACGGUACCAGAGGAAUAAGCACCGGCUAACUCCGUGCCAGCAGCCGCGGUAAUACGGCGGGUGCGAGCGUUAUCCGGAUUUACUGGGUUUAAAGGGUGCGUAGGUGGGCUUAUAAGUCAGUGGUGAAAUCUCCGAGCUUAACUUGGAAACUGCCGUUGAUACUAUAGGUCUUGAAUUAUCUGGAGGUAAGCGGAAUAUGUCAUGUAGCGGUGAAAUGCUUAGAUAUGACAUAGAACACCAAUUGCGAAGGCAGCUUACUACAUAUAAAUUGACGCUGAGGCACGAAAGCGUGGGGAUCAAACA